CUAUUAUGAGUACGAUCGCCCUCGUACUCAUAAGUUGUUUUCGAUGAUAGAGCUUCCGAAUCGACGAUCCACACCGUUAAACGUUAUUUACAGCAUUUAAAACUCCUAGAAAUUAAAUUUUAUAAUUUUUCGACAUCAUUUACCUUACGAUCAGGAGGUCACAAAUUUGACAAGUUUUAACGGCCGGUAUGGGAUACUUGCUAGUUUAACGGUGUAAAGAAUCGGAAUUUGUUGAAUUUUUUGAAUUUGUUGCUUUUGUGUUUUUAGCUCUUGGAUGGAGAGAUGUAGGGUUGAGAUGGUAGUGGUAGGUGGUGGUAGGUGGAAUAGUGUUUGAUCCAAGGGGUAUUAGUAAUUGGGGAGUAGAUCCAAGGACUAGAAACUUAGAAGCACCAAUGUGUUGGUGCUUCUAAAAGUAUUCUAACUCCACUCAUAUAUAUAUAUACAUAUAGGCCAUGGCUACUAUACUAUUAUGAGUAUUGGAGCCCUUGUACUCAUAAGUUGUUUUCAAUGAUGGAGCUUCCGAAUCGAUGAUCCACUCCGUUAAAUAUAAUCUAGAGUAUUUGAAAUUUCUAGAAAAUAAAUUUCGUAAAUUUUCGAAAUCAUAAUAAAGUCCAUCAAGCGGGCAUAAAAUGAACGGUCAAAAUCGAACGACGUCCUAAAAAAGGAUGAUCGGAUCCUUCAAUUCAAGAUCGGAGUUAUUGAUCUUUAUCUAUAUAGUGAAUAGAAUUUUCUAUCAAAAGUUCAACAAAUUCUGAUUUGUUUAUACCGUUAAACUAGCAAGUAUCCCAUACCGGCCGUUAAAAAUUGUCAAAUUUGUGACCUCUUGAUCGUAAGGUAAAUGAUGUCGAAAAAUUAUAAAAUUUAAUUUCUAGAAGUUUUAAAUGCUGUAAAUAAUGUUUAACGGAGUGGAUCGUCGAUUCGGAAGCUCUAUCAUCGAAAACAACUUAUGAGUACGAGGGCGAUCGUACUCAUAAUAGUAUAGUAGCCGGACCCUAUAUAUAUAUAUAU
RNAcentral lists this long non-coding RNA (1008 nucleotides) under Ananas comosus (pineapple). Its description in RNAcentral is "long non-coding RNA (ACOM_LNC020166)". The record is from RNAcentral. Lineage: Eukaryota; Viridiplantae; Streptophyta; Magnoliopsida; Poales; Bromeliaceae.